UGACUGGUCAAAAUUUAAUAAGUUAUGU
RNAcentral lists this non-coding RNA (28 nucleotides) under Bombyx mori (domestic silkworm). The record is from RNAcentral. Lineage: Eukaryota; Metazoa; Arthropoda; Insecta; Lepidoptera; Bombycidae.